UACAGAGGGUGCGAGCGUUAAUCGGAAUUACUGGGCGUAAAGCGUGCGUAGACGGUUAUUUAAGUCGGGUGUGAAAGCCCCGGGCUCAACCUGGGAAUUGCAUUCGAGACUGCAUUGCUGGAGUACGGAAGAGGAAGGCGGAAUUCCCGGUGUAGCGGUGAAAUGCGUAGAUAUCGGGAGGAAAAUCAGUGGCGAAGGCGGCCUUCUGGUCCAGUACUGACACUAAAGUGCGAAAGCGUGGGG
This 243-nucleotide ribosomal RNA is filed under the name uncultured bacterium. RNAcentral describes it as "partial 16S ribosomal RNA". It matches the Rfam family "Bacterial small subunit ribosomal RNA", at positions 524 to 766 of the family's 1533-position model. The record is from RNAcentral.